AUUGAACGCUGGCGGCAUGCCUUACACAUGCAAGUCGAACGGUAACAGGCCGCAAGGUGCUGACGAGUGGCGAACGGGUGAGUAACACAUCGGAACGUGCCUGAUAGUGGGGGAUAACUACUCGAAAGAGUAGCUAAUACCGCAUAAGAUCUCAGGAUGAAAGCAGGGGACCGCAAGGCCUUGCGCUAACAGAGCGGCCGAUGGCAGAUUAGGUAGUUGGUGGGAUAAAAGCUUACCAAGCCGACGAUCUGUAGCUGGUCUGAGAGGACGACCAGCCACACUGGGACUGAGACACGGCCCAGACUCCUACGGGAGGCAGCAGUGGGAAUUUUGGACAAUGGGCGCAAGCCUGAUCCAGCAAUGCCGCGUGCAGGAUGAAGG
This 381-nucleotide ribosomal RNA is filed under the name uncultured bacterium. RNAcentral's name for it is "bacterial SSU rRNA". It matches the Rfam family "Bacterial small subunit ribosomal RNA", at positions 30 to 414 of the family's 1533-position model. The record is from RNAcentral.